CCCUUAGAUGUUCUGGGCCGCACGCGCGCUACACUGACUACUUCAACGAGUUGUUUCCUUGAUCGAAAGGUCUGGGUAAUCUUUGAAAGGUAGUCGUGAUGGGGAUAGACUUUUGCAAUUUUUGGUCUUCAACGAGGAAUUCCUAGUAAACGCAAGUCAUCAACUUGCAUUGAUUACGUCCCUGCCCUUUGUACACACCGCCCGUCGCACCUACCGAUUGAAUGGUCCGGUGAAGCCUCCGGAUUGGCGCGCACCUCGGUGCCGCCGAGAAGUUGGCUAAACCUUACCAUUUAGAGGAAGGUGAAGUCGUAACA
This 314-nucleotide ribosomal RNA is filed under the name uncultured eukaryote. RNAcentral describes it as "partial 18S ribosomal RNA". It matches the Rfam family "Eukaryotic small subunit ribosomal RNA", at positions 1470 to 1796 of the family's 1831-position model. The record is from RNAcentral.